UCCAGACUCCUACGGGAGGCAGCAGUGGGGAAUAUUGCACAAUGGGGGGAACCCUGAUGCAGCGACGCCGCGUGGGUGAAGGAGCACCUCGGUGCGUAAAGCCCUAUCGGCAGGGAAGAAACAGACGGUACCUGAGUAAGAAGCCCCGGCUAACUACGUGCCAGCAGCCGCGGUAAUACGUAGGGGGCAAGCGUUAUCCGGAUUUACUGGGUGUAAAGGGAGCGUAGACGGCCAGACAAGUCUGAAGUGAAAAUCCAGCGCUUAACGUUGGAAGUGCUUUGGAAACUGCCGGGCUAGAGUGCAGGAGGGGCAGGCGGAAUUCCUAGUGUAGCGGUGAAAUGCGUAGAUAUUAGGAGGAACACCAGUGGCGAAGGCGGCCUGCUGGACUGCAACUGACGUUGAGGCUCGAAGGCGUGGGGAGCAAACAGGAUUAGAUACCCCUGUA
Molecule: ribosomal RNA, 445 nt
Filed under: uncultured bacterium
Lineage: Bacteria
Description: bacterial SSU rRNA
Rfam family: Bacterial small subunit ribosomal RNA
Source: RNAcentral